GCGCCCCGAGCCGGGACCGGGACCGGGACCGCCCGAGCGUCCCGGCGGGAGCGCGCCCCGAGCCGGGACCGGGACCGCUCCAGCGUCCCGGCGGGAGCGCGGCGAUCGGCAGUUUUACCGGUGUCCAAAGCUCCUGCUCCACGCAGACCAGAAUGGCUGCAGUAAUACAAUUUCCUAACGGGGACGCUGUUGGCAGAAGAUUUGGAAAACAAAAAUAAGGCUCUUUGCAUCACCAGAGCAGCUGUCCUGGCAUGCUGUGUUCCCGUAGCAUCCUCGCGGGAAAUUUAAGGAGUUAUAUAUGUACAGAAUAAAACAAAAAGAGAAAUCAAAGAGACCAUUUUGAUCAUCUAAUCUGAUCUUUUAAGAUACAGUCUUUCCUGAAUUAUUUUUUAUAUGAGCUAGAGAAUGGUCUUUAGGAAAGUUAACUUCCAACCAUGGUUUCAAAAUUGCCUGUAAAAGAAAAUCCACCGCAGAACUUGUUGAGCUGCUCUUCAGUUCUCGGCCCUGCUCAGCCCUGUGCCCUGCUUGCAGCCCAAGUUUGUCAUUAAUAACUCAGUACACAGCAAAAUCCCCCUGCCAUGUUCAGCUGCAUGGAAUGAUAACAGGGAACGGGGACAAGUAACUUACUGUCUUCUACAGAAGUCAAAGGGCUUAGAAAGGAGCACUGUUUUCCUGCUUAUAUGUCAUGGGUCUGUCUCAUAUACACAAUUUCAGUGCCUUCAAUUAUACAAUUUUCCCAUCUUAAGUUUAAAUUUACCAUCAAGAUGGUACCUACCAAUUCAGAUAAGAUUUUGAGAUAACUUCUUUAAAUGAAGAACUCUUUACCUAUGUGAUUGAAAUUCACUUUACACUAUAAAAAUAUUCCUUCAACUGCUCAUUUUAAGUAUGACAUAGAAAUGAUAAACUCCAGAAAUUGGAGAGCAUGAAGACGACUAGAGAACAAAGAGCUGUCCUAGGAAUAGCAUAGGUGUAGGUUGAAAAAGACCUCUAUGAUUCCCUCAGCACUGCCAAGGCCACCCACCACUAACCCAUGUCCCCAGGUGCCACACCCAAAUGUUUUUCCCUCCAGGGAUCGGGAAUCUGCCCUGGACAGCCUGACCGGCCCUUUCCAUGAAGAAAUGUUUCCCAAUACCCAACCUGAACCUCC
This is a long non-coding RNA of Corvus hawaiiensis (hawaiian crow), 1147 nucleotides long. RefSeq lists it as uncharacterized. The record is from RefSeq and is a predicted model, not a curated record. Lineage: Eukaryota; Metazoa; Chordata; Aves; Passeriformes; Corvidae. The transcript is spliced from 3 exons.